GCGAUCGAUGACGUCAGACGCUCAGAAUUUUAAUUUAAACGAUGGCCUAAUCAAGACUAGAAAAACAGUUUGAAGAAAUGACCAGACCUAGAGCUAAGCUGAGAUACUGUUAUGAACAGACCGGCUUCCUCCUUUAUGACUGUACAACUGCUGUUCAAGCCCUGCUUUCCUGAUCAGCCAUGAACGCAUUGCGACCGAUGUCCUGGUUUGCCUGUGUGAUCCUGCAUGAACUCAUUAUGAACGACAUGGUGUUCUCCUAGUCUCAUCCUCCAUGAACUCGUUAUGAACGACAUGGUGUUCUCUUUGUCUCAUCCUCCAUGAACUUAUUAUGAAUGAUGUUGUUGUCUCCAUAGCUGAUUCUCCUUGAACUUGUGACUGCUGUAGUGUUUUUAUCUGGUCCUCCUUGAAUGCAUUGCCACUGAUGUUCUGGCUUGCCUGUAUGGUAUUGCAAGAACUCAUUGCCACUUAUGUCCUGGUUUGCCUGUGCGAUCCUCCUUGAACCCAUUGAUCGCAUUGUGACUGAUGUUCUGGCUUGCCUGUGUGGUAUUCCAUGGACUCAUUGUCACUGAUGCCCUGGUGUGCCUGUGUGAUCCUCUUUGAACUCCUUGAUUGCAUUGUCACUGAUGCCCUGACUUGCCAUUGUGAUCCUCCUUGAACUCCUUGUGAAGGACGUGGUGUUCCAGUCUGAUCCUCCUUGAUCGCAUUGUCAUUGAUGUCCUGGCUUGCCUGUGUGGUACUCUAUGAACGCAUUGUCACUGGUGUUAUGCCCAACUUGCCUGAUCCUUCUAGAACGCACUGAGACUGGAUAGUUCUUGUCGUCUGCAUCUACACUGUCUGCCAUUUCAACACACAUUUAAUACUGAUACAGAUAAAAGGAGGUAUACAGCCCUUGCUACCUGUUGAUUACGUCAUUAUCUAAGGAAAUGCGUCACCUGACGUCUCGUAAUCUGUAACGCCGCAUACAUCCCCGUGUAGUGACGUAACAUAAAUCAGCUGAGAGAAGAGUGAUGUCAGGGUACAAAGAAUCUCUCAAGUUUUCAGAAUGCUGGACAUAUUUCAAUGUUAAGUUGCUGUUUUUGUUUUUUGUUUGAUGAUUAUGAAUGCAUACAUCAGUUCUGAAGUGUCGCCGUAGUCCCUUUGCUUGCAUGUCAAUAAACGUAGUGCCUUGGCCUGAUUCAUUUACACCAAAGUGAGCUGAAUAUUAUCACAUACUUUUAUUACAUUGAAUACACUACAAGAUAAGAUAGACAAGUUAUUCAUUCAGUUAUUAAGGCCACAUGACCAAGAUAACUACUUUUAAAACAAAUGAAUCGUGCGCUGCGUGUGUACACAUUACAAUACAUGUAUAAUCAAUUUAAACUGGCAGAUUCUUUUUAAAACAAGGCUAUUCCUUUAAUACACUUUAUAGUUUUGGUGGAAAUUAAUAAAUUAUUUUUUUCUGUUGGAAGGAUUUACUAUAACGGAUUCGGAUAUGAAAUAUUUCCUGCUCAAAGCAUAAUAUGGACAUACUAAAAGAAACUGAUAUUCAUCUUCCUCUUGACUGAGAUUACACUAGUUUCAUUUCUUUCUAUUACUGGAUUAUAUCUGCUUUUCUGUACUUUUAAUUUAUGUUACAAACACCUAAAUUUAGAAAACAUUCUCUACAGAUCCUUAUAUUAUGACAGAUAUUAUAUAUACUUUCCUGUUUCUAAAAGUUAUUUAUAAAAAGAAUAUGCCUUUUAAAAAUUACAAGAAUUAAUUUUAUCAUACCAGUGUUGAAAAUGAAUGUCUUUACAUCUCUGUACAAAGCUGGUCAUAAAUAACUUGAUACCAGGGCCGUAGUUAGCGGAAAGCAUUAUAGAAACUUAA
Gigantopelta aegis is the source of this 1848-nucleotide long non-coding RNA. RefSeq lists it as uncharacterized. The transcript has 4 exons. The record is from RefSeq and is a predicted model, not a curated record. NCBI's taxonomy places the organism in Eukaryota, Metazoa, Mollusca, Gastropoda, Neomphalida, Peltospiridae.